UCGAAUCCAAAGGGAUGUUGCUGGCCUUUCAUAGGCUGUGCACUCCCGCCUUUACAUCCACCUGUGCACUUGCUGUAGACUAGGAUUAAUUUUCGAGUCUAUGUUUUCAUAUACUCUUCAUAAAGUAAAUGAAUGUAUUUUAGGCUUUGGCCGAAAAAAAAAAAACAAUA
Molecule: unclassified non-coding RNA, 170 nt
Filed under: uncultured Clavariaceae
Lineage: Eukaryota; Fungi; Basidiomycota; Agaricomycetes; Agaricales; Clavariaceae
Description: sequence contains ITS1
Source: RNAcentral